UGGGGGAAAUGUAGCAUGCCUAUCUUUAUUUCACCCAGAUGGGUAAUCAGUGUUAAAUAACUUUGCAAUGGAUGGUAUAAACUCUACUUAUUUGUGGCAUAGUGGAUGUGGUGUGUACUUGAUGAUAGGUUGCUAUAUAAUACUUGUGUUGCAUCUUCCCAUUGUCCUUCAAAGCAUGCUUUUCUGUAAGGCAUGCAGCAGGCAGUGUGCCCAAUAUCUAAAUAAGCAGCUUGUGUGAGUAGCUUGGGGAAAGAUCCAAUGCCAAACUGGGACUCUAUCUAAUAGUUAAGUUGUAGAAACAUAUAAGCUAAGCUAAUCUGGGGGGAGGGAGGGUGCUAAAAUAUAAAGGUGUGGGCAAUGAUAAAUAAUCACUUCCUUGAAUCUGGCAAAGAGGAUUUCAAG
This 402-nucleotide long non-coding RNA is filed under the name Physcomitrium patens. RNAcentral describes it as "long non-coding RNA (PPAT_LNC005786)". The record is from RNAcentral. Lineage: Eukaryota; Viridiplantae; Streptophyta; Bryopsida; Funariales; Funariaceae.